CUGGCAGUGCCAGCCCAGAGCUUGUGUCUCCUCACAGGAGAAGACAGCAAAGGUUUCUGCAACCCACCUCAUUGGGGACAAGGGAAGGGUGACUUUGGAAAAAAGACCCUGACUCUUAGGUCUGGCUUGGACCUUACCAGCAAUCUGGAGACCCAGGACCCCCACCGUGGAGAACAAAGCUGGGAAGAGCUGCGUGAGGAUCGCGUUUCCUCCAGUUGACACCGCCAUCGCUGUCAUGAAGUAUGGUUACCUAGGUGACCUUCAAAGACCUUGGCCCACACUCAAGGCCAAAGAACACACAGAAAAAUACCAACAGUCAGGCCAGUGACAGGGUUUCUCUGCAUAGCCCUGGAUGUGCUGGAACUUGCUUUGUAGACCAGGCUGGCCUAGAAUCCACAGAGAUCUUCCUGCCUUUGCCUCUUGACCAAAUGCUAGGAUUAAAGGCAUGUGCCACCACCACCCAGCUGAGAGACCAUCAUAAAGGGGCAGGUGUGGAGGCA
RNAcentral lists this long non-coding RNA (500 nucleotides) under Mus pahari (shrew mouse). RNAcentral describes it as "lncRNA (MGP_PahariEiJ_G0002147.1)". Lineage: Eukaryota; Metazoa; Chordata; Mammalia; Rodentia; Muridae. The record is from RNAcentral.